Molecule: unclassified non-coding RNA, 240 nt
Filed under: uncultured fungus
Lineage: Eukaryota; Fungi
Description: partial contains 5.8S ribosomal RNA, internal transcribed spacer 2, and large subunit ribosomal RNA
Source: RNAcentral
AACGCACAUUGCACCCUCUGGUAUUCCGGGGGGUAUGCCUGUUCGAGCGUCAUUGCAACCCUCAAGCAUUGCUUGGUAUUGGAUGCCACCACUGUGGUGCAUCUCAAAAGUAUUGGCGGUGGCAUUCAGCUUCUAGCGUAGUAAAUCUUCUCGCCUUGGAGUUUGAGUGUCUGACUGCCAGAACCCCUAAAUUUAUCAAAGGUUGACCUCGGAUCAGGUAGGGAUACCCGCUGAACUUAA